Molecule: ribosomal RNA, 253 nt
Filed under: uncultured prokaryote
Description: partial 16S ribosomal RNA
Rfam family: Bacterial small subunit ribosomal RNA
Source: RNAcentral
GACAGAGGGUGCAAACGUUGUUCGGAAUUACUGGGCGUAAAGCGUGUGUAGGCGGCCGUGCAAGUCGGAUGUGAAAGCCCCGGGCUCAACCCGGGAAGUGCACCCGAUACUGCUCGGCUUGAGUCUCGGAGAGGUUGGUGGAAUUCUCGGUGUAGAGGUGAAAUUCGUAGAUAUCGAGAGGAACACCGGUGGCGAAGGCGGCCAACUGGACGAAGACUGACGCUGAGACACGAAAGCGUGGGGAGCAAACAGG